Molecule: ribosomal RNA, 303 nt
Filed under: uncultured bacterium
Lineage: Bacteria
Description: partial 16S ribosomal RNA
Rfam family: Bacterial small subunit ribosomal RNA
Source: RNAcentral
AGCAGCAGCCGCGGGAAUACGAAGGGGGCUAGCGUUGUUCGGAAUCACUGGGCGUAAAGCGCACGUAGGCGGACACUUAAGUCAGAGGUGAAAUCCCAAGGCUCAACCUUGGAACUGCCUUUGAUACUGGGUGUCUUGAGUUCGGGAGAGGUGAGUGGAACUGCGAGUGUAGAGGUGAAAUUCGUAGAUAUUCGCAAGAACACCAGUGGCGAAGGCGGCUCACUGGCCCGAUACUGACGCUGAGGUGCGAAAGCGUGGGGAGCAAACAGGAUUAGAUACCCCUGUAGUCCCUGUCUCUUAUAC